Molecule: ribosomal RNA, 506 nt
Filed under: uncultured bacterium
Lineage: Bacteria
Description: partial 16S ribosomal RNA
Rfam family: Bacterial small subunit ribosomal RNA
Source: RNAcentral
AGUGAACGCUGGCGGUAGGCCUAACACAUGCAAGUCGAACGGCAGCACAGGAGAGCUUGCUCUCUGGGUGGCGAGUGGCGGACGGGUGAGGAAUACAUCGGAAUCUACUUUUUCGUGGGGGAUAACGUAGGGAAACUUACGCUAAUACCGCAUACGACCUACGGGUGAAAGCAGGGGAUCUUCGGACCUUGCGCGAUUGAAUGAGCCGAUGUCGGAUUAGCUAGUUGGCGGGGUAAAGGCCCACCAAGGCGACGAUCCGUAGCUGGUCUGAGAGGAUGAUCAUCCACACUGGAACUUAGACACGGUCCAGACUCCUACGGGAGGCAGCAGUGGGGAAUAUUGGACAAUGGGCGCAAGCCUGAUCCAGCCAUACCGCGUGGGUGAAGAAGGCCUUCGGGUUGUAAAGCCCUUUUGUUGGGAAAGAAAUCCAGCUGGUUAAUACCCGGUUGGGAUGACGGUACCCAAAGAAUAAGCACCGGCUAACUUCGUGCCAGCAGCCGCAGUAA